This 28-nucleotide non-coding RNA is filed under the name Rattus norvegicus (Norway rat). The record is from RNAcentral. Lineage: Eukaryota; Metazoa; Chordata; Mammalia; Rodentia; Muridae.
UGUGGAUCAUCCCCGUCGGCAGGCAUGC